This 1173-nucleotide long non-coding RNA is filed under the name Carica papaya (papaya). Its description in RNAcentral is "long non-coding RNA (CPAP_LNC013543)". The record is from RNAcentral. Lineage: Eukaryota; Viridiplantae; Streptophyta; Magnoliopsida; Brassicales; Caricaceae.
UUGCUUCGCUUCGCACUUGGAUGCUGUAUCACUAGAUAGGAUGUAUCUUUCUUUCAUCGUUCGCGCAGAAGUCCGUACAGGCUGAAGAGGGACUCUCUCUUUUAACGUAAGCUCUGACUCAACGUUGGAUACCUCCUUUUCAAGUAGUUCUUUCAGAAUCUGUUGAUACGAGAUUGAGAUUCAACCAAUAAGAGAUAGAUUAAUAAAGUGCAGUCUAUGUGACACAAUAAAACGAUGGGAGAAGGGGGAUCUUUUUUCUUAGUGUUUCUUGGGAUCACUGAAGGAAGAUAGAGCGGAGAGAGCUGAGCUCGGGUAGAGGCAGAAAUUUUGGGACUCACUCAUCUGGAUUUUUAAUGUGACUGUAUAAACAAAUCCCAUUGGUGUGGGUGUCUAUGAGGCAUCUAUUGUGUUCGCUUUCGUUUCUUAUUGUUUGUUAUUCAUUGUUUUUAGGAAAAUAUGUUUGAAGGGCUUGUUCGCCAGCUAUUGUUGGGAUAUUUGGGCCGUUAUGUAAAAGAUAUCCACAAAGACCAACUGAAAAUCACAGUUUGGAAUGGUAAGUUUAUGUGUUCCUAUGCUUCUAUAACUUGUUUCUAUCUGGGUUUUUAAUGGACCGUAGUUAUGAAUUUAAAAUUAUUUUUCGACAGAUGAAGAUAUUAUUAAGAGAUUGAAAAUUGUUGGAGAAUGAAAUUGUUUCCAACAUAGGCUUUAGGAGAAUAAAUGAUUACAGAAUUACCUUCAGUGAAAAAGAUGAUUUCUUUGGAUCAGUUUAGCAUUUUUUUGGCUAUAGUCUUAAUAUCAUGUUGGUCCUCUCGUGUUGCCUGCCUUCUCUGUUGUGGAGACCAGUAUAGUGGCAUUAGUGGGAAGAAGGGAACCUUAAAUUUUGUUGCUCCAUCGAGUAGGUGCAAUGUUGAAACGUGUUAACAUUCUUUGUCUUCUUUUUCCUUUUGUUGCUUUUAUUUAAUCUCUCUGCAUUGCAUGGGUGUUUUCACAACAGGGGAGCAUGAUUAUUCCCAUUGUUGCGAGGAAAAUUCUCCUAAUUUCGCCGCAAGAUGUUCUCCGUUAAAUUUCUGAACGUUUUGGUAUUCUCGGACUGGUCGCAAGAAGUACACACUGCCCCCUUCCGUUAUAUGUGCCUGACUUGCACACACUUUGGUGACAACAUUAGGCUUUGGU